CGACGUGAGCAAUCUACCUUGGAGUGGGGAAUAACACAGUGAAAACUGUGCUAAUACCGCAUAAUACAACUGUGUCGCAUGGCAGUGGUUGUCAAAGAUUUAUCGCUCUGAGAUGAGCUCGCGUCUGAUUAGCUAGUAGGCGGGGUAAAGGCCCACCUAGGCGACGAUCAGUAGCCGGACUGAGAGGUUGGCCGGCCACAUUGGGACUGAGACACGGCCCAGACUCCUACGGGAGGCAGCAG
Molecule: ribosomal RNA, 242 nt
Filed under: uncultured bacterium
Lineage: Bacteria
Description: partial 16S ribosomal RNA
Rfam family: Bacterial small subunit ribosomal RNA
Source: RNAcentral